UACGGAGGGGGCGAGCGUUAUUCGGAAUCAUUGGGCGUAAAGGGCGCGUAGGCGGCCCGGUAAGUCAAAGGUGAAAUCCCUCGGCUCAACUGAGGAACUGCCUUUGAAACUGUCGGGCUUGAGGCCGGGAGGGGGUGGCGGAAUUCCCAGUGUAGCGGUGAAAUGCGUAGAUAUUGGGAAGAACACCCGUGGCGAAGGCGGCUCUCUGGGACGGUACUGACGCUGAGACGCGAAAGCGUGGGGAGCGAACAGG
This 253-nucleotide ribosomal RNA is filed under the name uncultured bacterium. RNAcentral's name for it is "partial 16S ribosomal RNA". It matches the Rfam family "Bacterial small subunit ribosomal RNA", at positions 524 to 776 of the family's 1533-position model. The record is from RNAcentral.